GUCUAGUGACGGUGGCUGCCGCGAGCGGGCGGACGCUCGCAACCUCUGAUGGAGGGGGGCUCAAGUUCACGGCUGCGGACGGGGAUGCGGGGGAUGCAGGGACCCGGGAGGCCAGGGAACCUGGCCAGUUGUUUUGGGCCAGGGGUGCGGGCGAGGGGUGGUUGUUGUUUCCCCACUUGUGGGGCCCGAAGUCAUCCACCGGCGGCCGCCACCGCGCGGGGCUGGAGGCUGAGAAUCCAAGUACGCUGCCACCCCCCCGCACUUCCGGGGGGGCGGGAAUACCGCCCUUAAGGUGGCUCUGUGAAGUCCCAGGUGGGGGCGAGCCUAAGGGGACUUAAGUUUAGGGGCGGUCUCCCGAGAGUCGGCCCCCCACGUUGAGAACACUCCGAAGUUUGCAUCUCGGUCAAGUUCAGGAGCGACGGUCCGCGGGGUCGUCUGGCUGCUCGUAGAAGCCGAGAGAUUUGUAUUGCCCGAAACUGGACGCUCAGCUGAGUCUCCGUUGCACCCCACUUCAUCCUCCGGGACCGUGGGGGAAAGGGCGCGGGGGUUCACAGCUUUGCCUCGGAGGGGCAGUUUUUAUAGUGGGCGCAAUUGGUGGGUAACAGGGUCCAGAUGGGAACAAGCGUGUAGGCGAUCCGAAACUCGGGGAACCCCGGUGUUAGUCUACUCCCCCUCCCGCCCCCGGACAACACGCACACGCUUAACACAACACGCACAACAUAACGCGCGCGCGCGCGCACACACACACUCCAUCCGCGCCGAGUUGCUUCCGGGAAAACAAGCCCAGAAGGCGGCGGACACUCGCAUAAAGUCACGCAGUAGUACUCGGAGCCCGGGGUAGAACCUGGACUUCAAAUCUCUGCACUCCCGGCCGGGUGGUGGGCGCAUAUCCUGGGUAGCCUCUAGGAAGCGCUAGACACAUAUUCCUAUCAGGCGAAGGCCGCCUUUCCUGGCCUCCCCCACAGGCCCGCCAGCGAUUCGUCCUUACAAGGCUAGCCUCCACGGGCUGCCCUCUGUGUAAAUAAAGCCACAGACUUCCGCCCACAGGUCGCCGCAGGUCCCGCCCGCAGCGCCGGGCCGCGGGGGAGGCGGGAACUGGUGCUACGGCCGCUACGCAGGCCUCGGGAGGCUCGGAGCCCGCCACGCCCCAGCCCUCUCGCAGGGCCGGGGAGCCACGGGGCCAAAAGGAGGAGCAGGUGGAAGAAAUCCAGGCUCAGACCGUCGGAGUCCCCACCCAUGAGCACCCUUCUCCACUGAUCACUCAGAACAUGGUAGGCCCUAGAGAGACAGCAGCCCGAAUCUUCCCAGAAACCCUGCAGGAGAUUCCUUCUUCCCAUUUUAUAGAAGGGAGGCUGAGGCUCGGCACGUUGAAAUGGCUUGACCAAGGUCCCACAGGCAAAAAAAUGGUACAGCAAGAUAUUGUAACCCAAUAUCUGGCUGCAAAACCCAGUCUCUCCCCAACCCACCUAUCGUCACCGAGAUUGUAAAACUUCUAACCGGGAAGAAUCAAAUACAUGCACAACGGGUUACAGGUUAACAGACAGAUGGGAGCGGAAAGGGACAUUCCAGCGCUUCCCUGGGCGUGUCGCACAGGGCAACUCCAACCACAGGCGAAUUUUCCUGGGUGACAGUUAAACUCCUUUUUGCAUGAAAAAAUACAGAUUCUUAUUAAAACAAUAAUCGAUUAGACUAUAAAACUCUCAAAGUUAUUUCGGAUCAAAAUUAUUUUCGGCUGUUUCCACACCUUUUUUUCUCGAUUGUGCAGAAAUUCUUCACACCGUCUGCACAGAUGGGCAAACUGAGACCCGGACGAGUCCCAUUGAGAGAGAGAGGCAGAGCCGGGGUUGGGAGAAGACUGAGAUUUCUGGGAUCCGGCUUGGGGUGUUUCCGCUGGGUGGGGGCGCCGGUUUGCGAAGAGCUUUCCUCGGACAGCUACUGCUGAUUUUUGUCGCUCAGCCAGCCAAGUGGGGGCGAUUCUGAGUAAUCGCAGGCAAUCAGCGCGGCUGGGGUUAAAAGCGAAAGGGACUCGCGGGCGAACGGCCGGGGAGGGCGGCGGGCACAGAGCCCAGACGCCGGCAAAGGCGGGGCGCCGCCGGGGUUCCCUCGGUGCGAGCGCGCGCGGCACUUCCUGCUUUUGCUCCUCCCUGCGGUCCUGCCGGCCGUUGUAAACUGGCGCUGCGGGCCACACCCGUGUUCCAGGCCCGCUAACCCACCGGCGGCCCCAGAGCCCCAGGCGGCCCCAGAGACCCAGCCUCAAUCCUCAGUCCUCGUACAGUCCUCAGGUCCAAGUUCUGGCCAUAGGAACGCCAGCCAGAUCUGCAGCUCAGCUAGCUGAAUUUCAGGUUCCAGAGACCUGGCCCUUUUCUUCCAUGUAGGGGACAGUCAGGUUCUCUGGCCUGGGUUUUCUAAAAGUACCCAGAGUUGAACUACCUUC
This 2434-nucleotide long non-coding RNA is filed under the name Homo sapiens (human). RNAcentral describes it as "non-protein coding LINC01135:13". Lineage: Eukaryota; Metazoa; Chordata; Mammalia; Primates; Hominidae. The record is from RNAcentral.